This 254-nucleotide ribosomal RNA is filed under the name uncultured bacterium. RNAcentral describes it as "partial 16S ribosomal RNA". It matches the Rfam family "Bacterial small subunit ribosomal RNA", at positions 524 to 776 of the family's 1533-position model. The record is from RNAcentral.
UACGUAGGGUGCAAGCAUUAAUCGGAAUUAUUGGGCGUAAAGGGCGCGUAGGCGGAUGGAUAAGUCAGAUGUGAAAUACCAAAGCUCAACUUUGGUGCUGCAUUUGAAACUCUCUAUCUAUGAGGAUUGACGGAGAAAGCGGAAUUCCACGUGUAGCGGUGAAAUGCGUAGAUACGUGGAGGAACACCGGUGGCGAAAGCGGCUUUCUAGUUUAUACCUGACGCUGAGGCGCGAGAGCAAGGGGAGCAAACAGG